Long non-coding RNA from Rhea pennata, 332 nucleotides. RefSeq lists it as uncharacterized. The record is from RefSeq and is a predicted model, not a curated record. The transcript is spliced from 3 exons. NCBI's taxonomy places the organism in Eukaryota, Metazoa, Chordata, Aves, Rheiformes, Rheidae.
AGAACACCAUGAAAAUUUUCUUGGAAAGGAACAGGACUCACUUCUGCCAGAACCCUUCCACGUUGAACUGCUGUAAUUUCAGACGGUGGAACCAGGGCUACGGAGCACUUGCUUUGUGAUGAGGGUCCUCCAUUUCUCCUCCUACCACCACAUAUGCAGUAUUCCUUCACCAUUGUGUUUCAAAGUGUUUUUUACAAGACCUCAACACUUAAAACACUGAUAAAAUCAGAUGUGGAACAGAUUUACAGCAACAGCUACAAUCUCUCAGAAGAGUUUCCUAAUUACCAGCGUUAUAGAACCACUUCUCUCAGUUAUUCUUAAAUGCAAUAAAG